This 517-nucleotide long non-coding RNA is filed under the name Mustela putorius furo (domestic ferret). RNAcentral's name for it is "lncRNA (ENSMPUG00000023901.1)". Lineage: Eukaryota; Metazoa; Chordata; Mammalia; Carnivora; Mustelidae. The record is from RNAcentral.
CUUGGCAAUCACAUCAGGAAGUAACAUUUACUGACCGCUUAUGACAUGCUCUUCCUGCUCCAAACACUGCGCACGAUUGUGUCCUAUAACCCUGCAGUGACCCUCAGGCUUAGGAACUUUCAUUUCCCCAUUUUAUAGCUGAGGAGCCUAUGGCUCAGGGCAGUGAGCACACGCCCCCAGGGCCACCACGCAGACUGCGAUGGGCAUAGGUGGUCUUGCUCAGCCUGUCUCCUGCGCCACCUCUGCAGACGCACGAGUUGUCCUUGAAAAGUCCCCGGAAGCAUGGCAGCUGUCGGACUGGUUUUCCAUUUGAACUCGCUCCAAGUCAUUCUGAACAGGAACCCGGGACACUAGAAUCCAACAAAACCAGGAACCCGAAUCAGGAGUGAAUGAACGAACGAAUGAAUGAGUUGAAAAACAAAAGACAAAGGGGUAAGGGUCGGUGAAAUAUUAAGAAAUUUUCAUUUAAAAAUUUUGGCAUUUUAAGAAAAUCAAUGGAUUUGGAAUUAAAAAUACU